GAUGAACGCUGGCGGCGUGCUUAACACAUGCAAGUCGAACGAUGAAGCUCAGCUUGCUGGGUGGAUUAGUGGCGAACGGGUGAGUAACACGUGAGUAACCUGCCCUUAACUCUGGGAUAAGCCUGGGAAACUAGGUCUAAUACCGGAUAGGAGCGUCCACCGCAUGGUGGGGGUUGGAAAGGUUUAUCGUUUUUGGAUGGACUCGCGGCCUAUCAGCUUGUUGUUGAGGUAAUGGCUCACCAAGGCGACGACGGGUAGCAGGCCUGGGCGGGUGACCGGCCACGCUACGACUGAGCUACGGCACAGACUACACCGGGAGGCAAGGGUGCAGAAUAUUGCACAAUGGGCUAGAGCAUGGUGCAGCGACGCCGCGUGAGGGAUGACGGGCUUGCGGUUGUAAUCCUCAGCCCGUAGGGAAGAAGCGAAAGUGACGGUACCUGCAGAAGAAGCACCGGCUAACUACGUG
Molecule: ribosomal RNA, 466 nt
Filed under: uncultured bacterium
Lineage: Bacteria
Description: partial 16S ribosomal RNA
Rfam family: Bacterial small subunit ribosomal RNA
Source: RNAcentral